Molecule: ribosomal RNA, 253 nt
Filed under: uncultured bacterium
Lineage: Bacteria
Description: partial 16S ribosomal RNA
Rfam family: Bacterial small subunit ribosomal RNA
Source: RNAcentral
UACGAAGGGGGCUAGCGUUGUUCGGAAUCACUGGGCGUAAAGCGCACGUAGGCGGAUCUUUAAGUCAGGGGUGAAAUCCCGAGGCUCAACCCCGGAACUGCCUCCAAAACUGCUGGUCUGGAGGUCGAGAGAGGUGAGUGGAAUUCCGAGUGUAGAGGUGAAAUUCGUAGAUAUUCGGAGGAACACCAGUGGCGAAGGCGGCUCACUGGCUCGAUACUGACGCUGAGGUGCGAAAGCGUGGGGAGCAAACAGG